Molecule: transfer RNA, 70 nt
Filed under: Limnephilus decipiens
Lineage: Eukaryota; Metazoa; Arthropoda; Insecta; Trichoptera; Limnephilidae
Also listed under: 1 other name
Description: tRNA-Met
Source: RNAcentral
UAAAAAAUAAGCUAAAUCAAGCUAAAGAGUUCAUACCUCUUUUAUAAAAGUUUUAAUCUUUUUUUUUUAA